GGGGGACCUUCGGGCCUCUUGCCAUCGGAUGUGCCCAGAUGGGAUUAGCUAGUAGGUGGGGUAACGGCUCACCUAGGCGACGAUCCCUAGCUGGUCUGAGAGGAUGACCAGCCACACUGGAACUGAGACACGGUCCAGACUCCUACGGGAGGCAGCAGUGGGGAAUAUUGCACAAUGGGCGCAAGCCUGAUGCAGCCAUGCCGCGUGUAUGAAGAAGGCCUUCGGGUUGUAAAGUACUUUCAGCGGGGAGGAAGGGAGUAAAGUUAAUACCUUUGCUCAUUGACGUUACCCGCAGAAGAAGCACCGGCUAACUCCGUGCCAGCAGCCGCGGUAAUACGGAGGGUGCAAGCGUUAAUCUGAGUGAGUGGGCGUAAAGCGCACGCAGGCGGUUUGUUAAGUCAGAUGUGAAAUCCCCACAGACUAAAGCUG
This 429-nucleotide ribosomal RNA is filed under the name Escherichia coli. Its description in RNAcentral is "bacterial SSU rRNA". It matches the Rfam family "Bacterial small subunit ribosomal RNA", at positions 194 to 616 of the family's 1533-position model. Lineage: Bacteria; Pseudomonadati; Pseudomonadota; Gammaproteobacteria; Enterobacterales; Enterobacteriaceae. The record is from RNAcentral.